Molecule: ribosomal RNA, 253 nt
Filed under: uncultured bacterium
Lineage: Bacteria
Description: partial 16S ribosomal RNA
Rfam family: Bacterial small subunit ribosomal RNA
Source: RNAcentral
UACGUAGGGUGCGAGCGUUAAUCGGAAUUACUGGGCGUAAAGCGUGCGCAGGCGGUUCUCUAUGUCGGUCGUGAAAGCCCCGGGCUUAACCUGGGAAUGGCGAUGGAAACUGGCGAGCUGGAGUGCGGCAGAGGGGGGUGGAAUUCCGCGUGUAGCAGUGAAAUGCGUAGAGAUGCGGAGGAACACCGAUGGCGAAGGCAGCCCCCUGGGUCGACACUGACGCUCAGGCACGAAAGCGUGGGGAGCAAACAGG